Molecule: ribosomal RNA, 491 nt
Filed under: uncultured bacterium
Lineage: Bacteria
Description: partial 16S ribosomal RNA
Rfam family: Bacterial small subunit ribosomal RNA
Source: RNAcentral
AGUGAACGCUGGCGGUAGGCCUAACACAUGCAAGUCGAACGGCAGCACAGUAAGAGCUUGCUCUUACGGGUGGCGAGUGGCGGACGGGUGAGGAAUACAUCGGAAUCUACUUUUUCGUGGGGGAUAACGUAGGGAAACUUACGCUAAAACGCCUAAGGCCCACGGGUGAAAACAAGGGAACUUCGGGCCUUGCGGGGAUGGAUGAGCCGAUGUCGGAUUAGCUAGUUGGCGGGGUAAAGGCCCAACAAGGCGACGAUCCGUAGCUGGUCUGAGAGGAUGAUCAGCCACACUGGAACUGAGACACGGUCCAGACUCCUACGGGAGGCAGCAGUGGGGAAUAUUGGACAAUGGGCGCAAGCCUGAUCCAGCCAUACCGCGUGGGUGAAGAAGGCCUUCGGGUUGUAAAGCCCUUUUGUUGGGAAAGAAAAGCAGCAGGUUAAUACCCCGCUGUUCUGACGGUACCCAAAGAAUAAGCACCGACUAACUUCGUG